Molecule: ribosomal RNA, 253 nt
Filed under: uncultured bacterium
Lineage: Bacteria
Description: partial 16S ribosomal RNA
Rfam family: Bacterial small subunit ribosomal RNA
Source: RNAcentral
UACGGGGGGGGCAAGCGUUGUUCGGAAUUACUGGGCGUAAAGGGCGCGUAGGCGGCGUGUUAAGUCAGCUGUGAAAUCUCCAAGCUUAACUUGGAACGGUCAGCUGAUACUGAUGUGCUAGAGUGCAGAAGGGGCAACCGGAAUUCUUGGUGUAGCGGUGAAAUGCGUAGAUAUCAAGAGGAACACCUGAGGUGAAGACGGGUUGCUGGGCUGACACUGACGCUGAGGCGCGAAAGCUAGGGUAGCAAACGGG